AUGACCAAGCAGGAGAUCAAUGCUCUGUGUUACCAGCUCAAGGUCUACCUGGGUCACGGCCUGGACAAGUGCGGUGUCCAGUGUGAGGUGCAGCUGGUGGAUUCUGGGCAAGGCUUGGUACAGCCUGGAAAGUCCCUGAAACUCUCCUGUGCAGCCUCUGGAUUCAUCUUCAGCGACUAUAGUAUGGACUGUGUCUGCAAAGCUCCAGAGAACGGACUGGAGUGCAUCACUUACCAUCUACUAUGCCAACACUGUGAAGGGCUGAUUCACCGUCUCCAGAGACAAGAACACCCUGUACCACAAAUGAGCAGUCUGAGGUUUGAGGAUACAGCCAUACAUUAA
Non-coding RNA from Microtus oregoni (creeping vole), 342 nucleotides. NCBI's taxonomy places the organism in Eukaryota, Metazoa, Chordata, Mammalia, Rodentia, Cricetidae. The record is from the annotation of a RefSeq genome assembly.